UCAUAUGCUUGUCUCAAAGAUUAAGCCAUGCAUGUCUAAGUACGUGCCUAAGAAAGGUGAAACCGCGAAUGGGUCAUUAAAUCAGUUAUGGUUCCUUAGAUCGUACCUUACUACUUGGAUAACUGUGGUAAUUCUAGAGCUAAUACAUGCAGCAGAGCUCCGACCUUCGGGGACGAGCGCUUUUAUUAGACCAAGACCAAUCGGACUUCGGUCCGAAGCUCAUGGUGACUCUGGAUAACUUUGGGCUGAUCGCACGGUCUCGUACCGGCGACGCAUCUUUCAAGUGUCUGCCUUAUCAACUUUCGAUGGUAGGUUAUGCGCCUACCAUGGUCGUAACGGGUAACGGGGAAUCAGGGUUCGAUUCCGGAGAGGGAGCCUGAGAAACGGCUACCACAUCCAAGGAAGGCAGCAGGCGCGCAAAUUACCCACUCCCGGCACGGGGAGGUAGUGACGAAAAAUAACAAUACGGGACUCUAUUGAGGCCCCGUAAUUGGAAUGAGUACACUCUAAAUCCUUUAACGAGGAUCUAUUGGAGGGCAAGUCUGGUGCCAGCAGCCGCGGUAAUUCCAGCUCCAAUAGCGUAUAUUAAAGUUGUUGCGGUUAAAAAGCUCGUAGUUGGAUCUCAGUUCCAGACGGGUGGUCCACCCCUGGUGGUUACUGCCUGGCCUGAACAAAUCCAGCCGGUUUUCCUUGAUGCUCUUCACCGAGUGUCUUGGGUGACCGGCACGUUUACUUUGAAAAAAUUAGAGUGCUCAAAGCAGGCGUGACGCCUGAAUAAUGGUGCAUGGAAUAAUGGAAUAGGACCUCGGUUCUAUUUUGUUGGUUUUCGGAACACGAGGUAAUGAUUAAGAGGGACAGACNGGGGCAUUCGUAUUGCGACGCUAGAGGUGAAAUUCUUGGACCGUCGCAAGACGAACUACU
This 921-nucleotide ribosomal RNA is filed under the name Draculoides kryptus. RNAcentral's name for it is "SSU rRNA". It matches the Rfam family "Eukaryotic small subunit ribosomal RNA", at positions 24 to 944 of the family's 1831-position model. The record is from RNAcentral. Lineage: Eukaryota; Metazoa; Arthropoda; Arachnida; Schizomida; Hubbardiidae.